Molecule: non-coding RNA, 102 nt
Filed under: Rummeliibacillus stabekisii
Lineage: Bacteria; Bacillati; Bacillota; Bacilli; Caryophanales; Caryophanaceae
Description: Guanine sequence
Rfam family: Purine riboswitch aptamer
About the family: Riboswitches are metabolite binding domains within certain messenger RNAs that serve as precision sensors for their corresponding targets. Allosteric rearrangement of mRNA structure is mediated by ligand binding, and this results in modulation of gene expression. A class of riboswitches that selectively recognises guanine and becomes saturated at concentrations as low as 5 nM.
Source: Rfam by way of RNAcentral
CAAAAUUACAUAACAUUCACUCAUAUAAUAGCAGGAAUAUGGCCUGCAAGUUUCUACCAGAUUACCGUAAAUGAUCUGACUAUGAGAAGCAAUCUAGUAAAU